CGAGGAGAAGGAGGAUCCUAGGACCCAGUUUCUUAGCACACAGAUCCACCUGGAAUUCUAGACGAGCCUUUUCUUCAGUUUUCUCAACAAAGUGUCUACACUCUACAGGUUGUACUUCCCUUAACUGGGACUCCCUGGUCCGGCAACAUCUGUGGUCUGGCAUGAUUUACUGAAUUAAGACUGCAUCUUCAACCAGAAUACGUGACUGAAUUAUACUGCCUGUGCCUAAUUCUGGGCCCAAUUUUGUGAGGUACUAAGUAUUCAGCAACUU
Pelodiscus sinensis (Chinese soft-shelled turtle) is the source of this 271-nucleotide non-coding RNA. The record is from RefSeq and is a predicted model, not a curated record. NCBI's taxonomy places the organism in Eukaryota, Metazoa, Chordata, Testudines, Trionychidae.